CAGAGACUGCAAGCGUUAUUCGGAUUCACUGGGCGUAAAGGGUGCGCAGGCGGUCGUGUGUGUCAGAUGUGAAAUCCCGGGGCUUAACUCCGGAACUGCGUCUGAAACUGCACGACUAGAGCAUUGGAGAGGGUAGUGGAAUUCACGGUGUAGCAGUGAAAUGCGUAGAUAUCGUGAGGAACACCAGAGGCGAAGGCGACUACCUGGACAAUUGCUGACGCUCAGGCACGAAAGCAUGGGGAGCAAAAGGGAUUAGAUACCCCUGUAGUCCAUGCCCUAAACGGUGCACACUAGGUCUUGGAGGAUUCGACCCCUUCAGGGCCCAAGCUAACGCGUUAAGUGUGCCGCCUGAGGACUACGGUCGCAAGACUA
RNAcentral lists this ribosomal RNA (372 nucleotides) under uncultured organism. RNAcentral describes it as "bacterial SSU rRNA". It matches the Rfam family "Bacterial small subunit ribosomal RNA", at positions 526 to 896 of the family's 1533-position model. The record is from RNAcentral.